Molecule: RNA transcript, 4645 nt
Organism: Oncorhynchus keta (chum salmon)
Lineage: Eukaryota; Metazoa; Chordata; Actinopteri; Salmoniformes; Salmonidae
Gene: sptlc2a
Gene name: serine palmitoyltransferase, long chain base subunit 2a
Exons: 11
Source: RefSeq, a predicted model, not a curated record
CAUCUCAACGAUUGCUACGUUGCGUGAUGGUUUAUACUGAACAAGACGUUUCCCCAAAACUGUGCGUACGGUCCUUCAACAUCAUUUGAGGUACGUCUGCUACUCUUUGGUGGGUGUGGCCUGAUCAAUACGGGGGAUACCAUUUGAAAUCGCAAAACUCGUUCAGCAAGUUACAUUUAUAGCCGUUAUGUUGAAUUAAAGGUUGAACAUCGUGCUGUCUUACUGAACACACCCCUUGUGUCCUAGUUGUGGAUUUUUGGGUGGGUUUGCGAGCGCACAACCCGGACAGGCACCAAAAACGAGUUCCCCAUUCUGUGCUAGCCAGAUACAUGCAAGUUACUGUAGCCUCCACAAUCAUAGGCAAGGAUGACCGAAAGCUCCGCGAACAAGCCGGCCAAUGGACAAGUUUGUCACCGAGUGAAGAACGGCGUUAAACCGGGCAGAAACGGUUUCAUAAAAAACCAUCACCAUUACCAUCAUCAGCAGCCGAUGUACUGCUAUCCCGAGGACAAGGUGCAGCACACCGCGUGUAAUGGCAGCAGCGGCCUGGGCCUGUACAGUCGUCCCUUCAUCGAGUCUUUUGAGGAAACGCCCAUGCUGGUGGCGGUCCUCACCUACAUGGGCUACGGCAUCCUCACCAUCUUCGGAUACCUCCGAGACUUCCUCCGGGACUGGAAGAUCGAGAGGUGUCAUGUUGCCCGCGAGAGGGAGGAGCAGAGGGACUUUGUCCCACUUUACCAGGACUUUGAGAACUUUUACACCAGGAACUUAUACAUGCGCAUCCGUGACAGCUGGAACAGACCCAUCUGCAGUGUCCCGGGGGCCAAGGUGGACCUAGUGGAACGUGUGUCACCUGACUACAACUGGACCUUUGACUACACAGGCAAAGUGGUUGAAGGUGUAAUAAACAUGGGUUCCUAUAACUACCUGGGCUUUGCUGAGAACACGGGUUACUGUGCUGACGCGUCCGCUGAGGUCACCAUGAAGUACGGGGUGGGCGUGGCCAGCACCAGGCAGGAGAUGGGUAACUUAGACAGACAUGAGGAGAUGGAGGAGCUGGUUGCUAAAUUCCUGGGCGUGGAGUCGGCCAUGGCUUUCGGGAUGGGCUUCGCUACCAAUUCGAUGAACAUCCCUGCCCUUACUGGCAAGGGCUGUCUAAUCCUAAGUGAUGAGCUGAACCAUGCCUCUCUGGUCCUGGGAGCCAGGCUGUCUGGGUCCACCAUCCGUGUCUUCAAACACAACAACAUGCAAAGUCUGGAGAAGAUGUUGAGAGACGCCAUAGUCCACGGCCAGCCCAGAACACACAGGCCGUGGAAGAAGAUCCUCAUAUUGGUGGAGGGUAUAUACAGUAUGGAAGGCAGUAUAGUACGUCUACCUGAAGUCAUAGCUCUGAAGAAGCGCUACAGGGCCUAUCUGUACCUGGACGAGGCCCACAGUAUUGGGGCUCUGGGGCCAGGGGGCCGAGGUGUGGUCGACUACUUUGGUCUGGACCCCCGAGACGUGGACGUCAUGAUGGGGACGUUCACCAAGAGCUUUGGCGCCGCUGGGGGCUACAUCGGAGGCAGGAAGGACUUGUUGGAGUACCUGCGCUCCCACUCUCACAGUGCGGUGUACGCCGCGUCCAUGUCACCUCCUGUCGUGGAGCAGAUCAUCGCUUCUAUGAAGUGCAUUAUGGGGGAGGACGGGACGACGCUUGGGCCAUGGGGUGAGACGAGGAUGCAGCUAAAGCCCCACCCUCUUCAACAUAUAUAUCAAGGAAUUGGCGAGGGCACUAAAACAGUCUGCAGCACCCAGCCUCACCCUACUAGAAUCUGAAGUCAAAUGUCUACUGUUUGCUGAUGAUCGGGUGCUUCGGUCACCAACCAAGGGCCUACAGCAGCAUCUAGAUCUUCUGCACAUAUGCUGUCAGACCUGGGCCCUGACAGUAAAUCUCAAUACGAUCUAAACCAGGCCAGAACUUGUCCGUGUAGACCAAUUUGGGUUUCCAAUCUCUCCAAAAGAAUGUGGUGAUCGAUGGUAUCAAAAGCAGCACUAAGGUCUAGGAGCACGAGGACAGAUGCAGAGCCUCGGUCUGAUGCCAUUAAAAGGUAAUUUACCACCUUGACAAGUGCAGUCUCAGUGCUAUGAUGGGGUCUAAAACCAGACUGAAGCAUUUUGUAUACAUUGUUUGUCUUCAGAAAGGCAGUGAGUUGCUGCCCAACAGCCUUUUCAAAUAAUUUUGAGAGGAAUGGAAGAUUCGAUAUAGGCCGAUAGUGUUUUAUAUUUUCUGGGUCAGGGUUUGGCUUUUUCAAGAGAGGCUUUGUUACUGCCACUUUUAGUGAGUUUGGUACACAUCCCGUGGAUAGAGAGUUGUUUAUUAUGUUCAACAUAGGAAGGCCAAGCACAGGAAGCAGCUCUUUCAGUAGUUUAGUUGGAAUAGGGUCCAGUAUGCAGCUUGAAGGUUUAGAGGCCAUGAUUAUUUUCAUCAUUGUGUCAAGAGAUAUAGUGCUAAAACACUUGAGCGUCUCUCUUGAUCCUAGGUCCUGGCAGAGUUGUGCAGACUCAGGACAACUGAGCUUUGAAGGAGGACGCAGAUUUAAAGAGGAGUCCGUAAUUUGCUUUCUAAUAAUCAUGAUCUUUUCCUCAAAGAAGUUCAUGAAUGUAUCACUGCUGAAGUGAAAGCCAUACUCUCUUGGGGAAUGCUGCUUUUUAGUUAGCUUUGCGACAGUAUCAAAAAGGAAUUUCGGAUUCUAUGCCAUUCAAAGGAACAUUGCAUUUGACAUGCCAAUUAGGAUCUGGCUGAAAAUACUUGAAUCAGUUGUAGAACCCAUUGCCCUUUUAUGGUUGUGAGGUCUGGGGUCCGCUCACCAACCAAGAAUUCACAAAAAGGGACAAAAACCAAAUUAAGAGACUGCUUGCAGAAUUCUGCAAAAAUAUCCUCAGUGUACAACGUAAAACACCAAAUAAUGCAUGCAGAGUAGAAUUAGGCUGAUACCUGGUAAUGAUCAAAAUCCAGAAAAGAGCCGUUCAAUUCUACAACCACCUAAAUGGAAGCAAUUCCAAAACCUUCCCUAACAAAGCCAUCACCUACAGAGAGAUGAACCUGGAUAAGAGUCCCCUAAGCAAGCUGGUCCUGGGGCUCUGAUCACAAACAGACCCCACAGAGACCCAGGACAGCAGCACAAUUAGAUCCAAACAAAUCACGAGAAAACAAAAAUAUUAUUACUUGAGACAUUGGAAAGAAUUAGCAAAAAAACAGCAAACUAGAAUGCUAUUUGGCCCUAAACAGAGAGUACACAGUGGCAGAAUACCUGACCACUGUGACUGACCCAAACUUAUGGAAAGCUUUGACUAUGUACAGACUCAGUGAGCAUAGCCUUGCUAUUGAUAAAGGCCACCAUAGGCAGACCUGGCUCUCAAGAGAAGACAGGCUAUGUGCACACUGCCCACAAAAUGAGGUGGAAACUGAGCUGCACUCCCUAACCUCUUGCCAAAUGUAUGACCAAAUUAGAGAGACAGAUUUCCCUCAGAUUACACAGAUCCACAAAGAAUUAAAAAACAAACCCAAUUUGAAUAAACUCCCAUAUCUAUUGGGUGAAAUACCACAGUGUGCCAUCAACCAGUGAGUCACUUGAUUUGGCAAUGUUAACACAUGUUUCCGGAGGGGGGGGGCUAUCCCCCCUUAAUCAGCCAAUCAAGUCAACUUUCAUAUAUGUUAUACACACGUCGAGUCCAAUGAUCCCCUGUCACGUUCCCACACUUGUCGCGUUCCCUCUUCUCCUCUCGCUCAAGUGAUUGCUGCUCCACCCGUUUCAUCAAAAACGUCAGCAUUCCAUAAACCAAUCCUGAUGUGUGUGUGUGUCACUCUCUAAUGUGUAGCUCUCAAUUGGGGAUGAUGCGUUUUGUUCAGCCUGGCACCCCAGGCAGGAAUGUGCCACUGCAAAGUGACUUGAAGGCGUCACUUAGCACAUCUGGCCAACGGUGGCAGAGGGGCGACUAGCAGGGGGGAAUCGUCAGGGAAGGGGAAAUUCCUGGGCCCGAGUCCUUAGCAUGCGCGGAAUAUUUGACAAGUGAAAACCGUGGCGUGCAGAAAUGCAAGCUGGCCCUCUGAAACUGUUCCGUCCGCCUCAUAGCCAAUAAAGGAACAGGCGGAAUUCUGCUCUCCCUCAAUAUUACUGCGAGGAGCUUGGUGAGAAAGUGUGUUGACCUCCUUUCAAAGGCAGAUGUGUAUGUACAAGUUGUAAUCAAUUGGCUCGUAAUGUUUCAGCCCUUGAAGCACACACAGACCCUUUCACAUACACACACAUAGGCUUGCGUAGACAGAAAGACAGACAACCUGCAUCCCCAAUGCGGUGUAGGAAUAGAUAGAGAUCUGCAGUAUGUGCCUGGGGCAUGAGGGUCUGUCUUGAGCUCUACCAGUCUGAUAAAGGCUACAGCCAGAUGGUAACAGAGAGACAGACGGGGUUAACAUCAGCUGUCUGUCUGGACAGAGGACAAACCACUGUAGGGUGUUACUGUGUCAUCUUAGAAAGAGUUUUAACCAACAUUGAGUAGGUUCAGGCUUUAGCUACUCAUUUUUAAAUCCUUCAAAAUUCACGUGUGUGUGUGUGUGUGUGUGUGUGUGUGUGUGUGUGUGUGUGUGUGUGUGUGUGUGUGUGUAUGUGUG